GCCUGGGUAGCUCAGUCGGUUGAGCGUCCAACUCUUGGUUUCAGCUCAGGUCAUGAUCCCAAGGUCGUGGGAUCAAGCCCCACAUCAGGCU
RNAcentral lists this transfer RNA (91 nucleotides) under Felis catus (domestic cat). It matches the Rfam family "tRNA". From Rfam's summary of the family: Transfer RNA (tRNA) molecules are approximately 80 nucleotides in length. Lineage: Eukaryota; Metazoa; Chordata; Mammalia; Carnivora; Felidae. The record is from Rfam by way of RNAcentral. RNAcentral also lists the same sequence under 1 other name.